CCUACGGGGUGCAGCAGUGGGGAAUAUUGCACAAUGGGCGCAAGCCUGAUGCAGCCAUGCCGCGUGUAUGAAGAAGGCCUUCGGGUUGUAAAGUACUUCCAGCGGGGAGGAAGGUGUUGUGGUUAAUAACCACAGCAAUUGACGUUACCCGCAGAAGAAGCACCGGCUAACUCCGUGCCAGCAGCCGCGGUAAUACGGAGGAUGCAGGCGUUAAUCGGAAUUACUGGGCGUAAAGCGCACGCAGGCGGUCUGUCAAGUCGGAUGCGAAAUCCCCGAGCUCAACCUGGGAACUGCAUUCGAAACUGGCAGGCUAGAGUCUUGUAGAGGGGGGUAGAAUUCCAGGUGUAGCGGUGAAAUGCGUAGAGAUCUGGAGGAAUACCGGUGGCGAAGGCGGCCCCCUGGACAAAGACUGACGCUCAGGUGCGAAAGCGUGGGGAGCAAACAGGAUUAGAUACCCCAGUAGUC
This 465-nucleotide ribosomal RNA is filed under the name uncultured bacterium. Its description in RNAcentral is "bacterial SSU rRNA". It matches the Rfam family "Bacterial small subunit ribosomal RNA", at positions 338 to 795 of the family's 1533-position model. The record is from RNAcentral.